This 494-nucleotide ribosomal RNA is filed under the name uncultured bacterium. RNAcentral's name for it is "partial 16S ribosomal RNA". It matches the Rfam family "Bacterial small subunit ribosomal RNA", at positions 28 to 507 of the family's 1533-position model. The record is from RNAcentral.
GACGAACGCUGGCGGCGUGCUUAACACAUGCAAGUCGAACGGAAAGGCCUGCUUUCCCUUGUGGAUUGCGGGUACUCGAGUGGCGAACGGGUGAGUAACACGUGAGUGAUCUGCCCCCAACUUGGGUAUAAGCCUGGGAAAAUGGGUCUAAUUCCCGAUAGGACUGCAGGGUGGUGCCUGUGGUGGAAAACGAUUUUCUAGUGGUUGGGGAUGAGCUCGCGGCCUAUCAGCUUGUUGGUGGGGUAAUGGCCUACCAAGGCGGCGACGGGUAGCCGGCCUGAGAGGGUGGACGGCCACAUUGGGACUGAGAUACGGCCCAGACUCCUACGGGAGGCAGCAGUGGGGAAUAUUGCACAAUGGGCGGAAGCCUGAUGCAGCGACGCCGCGUGGGGGAUGACGGCCUUCGGGUUGUAAACUCCUUUCGACCGCGAGGAAGCCACCUGGUUGGAAGGGUGGUGACGGUAGUGGUAGAAGAAGCACCGGCUAACUACGUG